RNAcentral lists this ribosomal RNA (497 nucleotides) under uncultured bacterium. RNAcentral describes it as "partial 16S ribosomal RNA". It matches the Rfam family "Bacterial small subunit ribosomal RNA", at positions 28 to 507 of the family's 1533-position model. The record is from RNAcentral.
GAUGAACGCUGGCGGCGUGCCUAAUACAUGCAAGUCGAGCGAACAGACGAGGAGCUUGCUCCUCUGACGUUAGCGGCGGACGGGUGAGUAACACGUGGAUAACCUACCUAUAGGACUGGGAUAACUUCGGGAAACCGGAGCUAAUACCGGAUAAUAUAUUGAACCGCAUGGUUCAAUAGUGAAAGACGGUUUUGCUGUCACUUAUAGAUGGAUCCGCGCCGCAUUAGCUAGUUGGUAAGGUAACGGCUUACCAAGGCAACGAUGCGUAGCCGACCUGAGAGGGUGAUCGGCCACACUGGAACUGAGACACGGUCCAGACUCCUACGGGAGGCAGCAGUAGGGAAUCUUCCGCAAUGGGCGAAAGCCUGACGGAGCAACGCCGCGUGAGUGAUGAAGGUCUUCGGAUCGUAAAACUCUGUUAUUAGGGAUGAACAAAUGUGUAAGUAACUAUGCACGUCUUGACGGUACCUAAUCAGAAAGCCACGGCUAACUACGUG